GACGAACGCUGGCGGCGUGCUUAACACAUGCAAGUCGAACGGAAAGGCCCUGCUUUUGUGGGGUGCUCGAGUGGCGAACGGGUGAGUAACACGUGAGUAACCUGCCCUUGACUUUGGGAUAACUUCAGGAAACUGGGGCUAAUACCGGAUAGGAGCUCCUGCUGCAUGGUGGGGGUUGGAAAGUUUCGGCGGUUGGGGAUGGACUCGCGGCUUAUCAGCUUGUUGGUGGGGUAGUGGCUUACCAAGGCUUUGACGGGUAGCCGGCCUGAGAGGGUGACCGGCCACAUUGGGACUGAGAUACGGCCCAGACUCCUACGGGAGGCAGCAGUGGGGAAUAUUGCACAGUGGGCGGAAGCCUGAUGCAGCAACGCCGCGUGCGGGAUGACGGCCUUCGGGUUGUAAACCGCUUUCGCCUGUGACGAAGCGUGAGUGACGGUAAUGGGUAAAGAAGCACCGGCUAACUACGUGCCAGCAGCCGCGGUGAUACGUAGGGUGCGAGCGUUGUCCGGAUUUAUUGGUCGUAAAGGGCUCGUAGGUGGUUGAUCGCGUCGGAAGUGUAAUCUUGGGGCUUAACCCUGAGCGUGCUUUCGAUACGGGUUGACUUGAGGAAGGUAGGGGAGAAUGGAAUUCCUGGUGGAGCGGUGGAAUGCGCAGAUAUCAGGAGGAACACCAGUGGCGAAGGCGGUUCUCUGGGCCUUUCCUGACGCUGAGGAGCGAAAGCGUGGGGAGCGAACAGGCUUAGAUACCCUGGUAGUCCACGCUGUAAACGGUGGGUACUAGGUGUGGGGUCCAUUCCACGGGUUCCGUGCCGUAGCUAACGCUUUAAGUACCCCGCCUGGGGAGUACGGCCGCAAGGCUAAAACUCAAAGGAAUUGACGGGGCCCCGCACAAGCGGCGGAGCAUGCGGAUUAAUUCGAUGCAACGCGUAGAACCUUACCUGGGUUUGACAUGGAUCGGGAGUGCUCAGAGAUGGGUGUGCCUCUUUUGGGGUCGGUUCACAGGUGGUGCAUGCCUGUCGUCAGCUCGUGUCGUGAGAUGUUGGGUUAAGUCCCGCAACGAGCGCAACCCUUGUUCACUGUUGCCAGCACGUUAUGGUGGGGACUCAGUGGAGACCGCCGGGGUCAACUCGGAGGAAGGUGGGGAUGACGUCAAGUCAUCAUGCCCCUUAUGUCCAGGGCUUCACGCAUGCUACAAUGGCUGGUACAGAGAGUGGCGAGCCUGUGAGGGUGAGCGAAUCUCGGAAAGCCGGUCUCAGUUCGGAUUGGGGUCUGCAACUCGACCUCAUGAAGUCGGAGUCGCUAGUAAUCGCAGAUCAGCAACGCUGCGGUGAAUACGUUCCCGGGGCU
This 1346-nucleotide ribosomal RNA is filed under the name uncultured bacterium. Its description in RNAcentral is "partial 16S ribosomal RNA". It matches the Rfam family "Bacterial small subunit ribosomal RNA", at positions 28 to 1381 of the family's 1533-position model. The record is from RNAcentral.